UUGGAGGGCAAGUCUGGUGCCAGCAGCCGCGGUAAUUCCAGCUCCAAUAGCGUAUAUUAAAGUUGUUGCAGUUAAAAAGCUCGUAGUUGAAUUUCGGGGUUAGUAGGUUGGUCAUGCCACUGGUAUGUACUGGUCUCACUGAUUCCUCCUUCCUGAUGAGCCGUAAUGCCAUUAAUUUGGUGUUGCGAGGAAUCUGGACUGUUACUUUGAAAAAAUUAGAGUGUUUAAAGCAAGCUAACGCUUGAAUACAUUAGCAUGGAAUAAUGAAAUAGGACGUUCGAUCCUAUUUUGUUGGUUUCUAGGAUUGACGUAAUGAUUAAUAGGGAUAGUUGGGGGCAUUAGUAUUCAAUUGUCAGAGGUGAAAUUCUUGGAUUUAUUGAAGACUAACUACUGCGAAAGCAUUUGCCAAGGAUGUUUUCAUUAAUCAAGAACGAAAGUUAGGGGAUCGAAGACGAUCAGAUACCGUCGUAGUCUUAACCAUAAACUAUGCCGACUAGGGAUCGGAUGAUGUUAAUUUUUUAAUGACUCAUUCGGCACCUUACGGGAAACCAAAGUGUUUGGGUUC
RNAcentral lists this ribosomal RNA (565 nucleotides) under uncultured Glomeromycotina. RNAcentral describes it as "SSU rRNA". It matches the Rfam family "Eukaryotic small subunit ribosomal RNA", at positions 548 to 1114 of the family's 1831-position model. Lineage: Eukaryota; Fungi; Glomeromycota. The record is from RNAcentral.